Molecule: long non-coding RNA, 1062 nt
Organism: Homo sapiens (human)
Lineage: Eukaryota; Metazoa; Chordata; Mammalia; Primates; Hominidae
Exons: 2
Source: RefSeq, a predicted model, not a curated record
AAGCACAAUUAUAAUGAAGAUCAUUUUUGCAAAACUUAUUCAGCUGUCUCCCAGGCCUUCCUAAGUUUUUGCAUGUAAAUGGCUAAGGAUGUACCUCUUGUGCCACCACUUCUGGUCCAUUUUCCACGGCUAACAGUACAACUCACCUCACCCUCAUUUGUCAGAGUCUAUGAUUCUAGCAAAGUCCUCAACACAUUUUCAUGGACUUGAUGAAAUUCUGCAUUUUUCCAGAUAUUUAAAAUUUCAAUUUGCAAUGACUUGGCCUUGUAUUUCCAGAUAUUUACAAUAUCUGAUCAUCUGCAAGAGGCUAAUCUACAAACGUAUAAUGCAAGAAAGACUAUUUGAAUAGGGACUAAUAUUGUAAGUAGUAGGUUCAUUAGUGAAUUACUUCAUGAUUGUUUCCGUACCAUGAAAGAUGAGCUCUGACUGUUCUUUUUUUGAUCUAACCCGAAUAACCUAAACUUGAGGAAAUUUGCUGCUGGGAGUGAGUGCAGGUGGGUCUAAGCUCUGUGCAAGGGAAAAGGUUUCUCUGAAGUGGUGUGGAGCCAUGCUGUGUGAGGCUGGAAAGAAGAACUGCUCUCCAGGGGACAUUGGUCUGAGAAUCAAGAAUGCAGGAGUUGGUGUGCCAUAUAGGGAACUCAGUUGAGAGUUUAAUAGUGGAAUGACUUUUCCUUAGGCAAUGGGAACGUCAGGUUUGGUGAGUGUUAAUAAUUCCUUUCUUUCACACAUUUUUGUUUAUGUUAAAUAAAGUUUCUGCAUGGUCUACAUUUGGGGAAGUGCAGUGUUUUAAAGAAUGGACAGCUCUGCAAGACUGCAAAAGACACUCAAGAGAGGAAUCACUAUUUUUUCAACCCUGGGAAUAAGAAGACAUGUGACAACUUUUCUAAACUCAUCCUUUCAUCUCUUGACCAGCCUGUGUUCAGUUUAAAGCAUAGCAAUAGAAUUUCACAAGAAGCCACACCCAAAGUAAUUGACUUAUUGUGUGAAAUCCUAACUGUAGUAUAUAGAUUUUAUUUAACAGCUAUGAAAGAAAAGGUACAACAUUGAAAAUGGUUGCCAAGU